AUAUUGGACAAUGGGCGCAAGCCUGAUCCAGCCAUGCCGCGUGAAUGAUGAAGGCCUUAGGGUUGUAAAGUUCUUUCACCGGAGAAGAUAAUGACGGUAUCCGGAGAAGAAGCCCCGGCUAACUUCGUGCCAGCAGCCGCGGUAAUACGAAGGGGGCUAGCGUUGUUCGGAUUUACUGGGCGUAAAGCGCACGUAGGCGGAUUGUUAAGUUAGGGGUGAAAUCCCAGGGCCCAACCCUGGAACUGCCUUUAAUACUGGCAAUCUCGAGUCCGGAAGAGGUGAGUGGAAUUCCGAGUGUAGAGGUGAAAUUCGUAGAUAUUCGGAGGAACACCAGUGGCGAAGGCGGCUCACUGGUCCGGUACUGACGCUGAGGUGCGAAAGCGUGGGGAGCAAACAGG
Molecule: ribosomal RNA, 398 nt
Filed under: uncultured bacterium
Lineage: Bacteria
Description: bacterial SSU rRNA
Rfam family: Bacterial small subunit ribosomal RNA
Source: RNAcentral